Molecule: ribosomal RNA, 740 nt
Filed under: uncultured prokaryote
Description: bacterial SSU rRNA
Rfam family: Bacterial small subunit ribosomal RNA
Source: RNAcentral
GCUGGACUGUAACUGACGNUGAGGCACGAAAGCGUGGGGAUCAAACAGGAUUAGAUACCCUGGUANNCCACGCCGUAAACGAUGAAUGCUAGCUGUUAGCGAUAUACUGUUAGCGGCACAGAGAAAUCGUUAAGCAUUCCACCUGGGGAGUACGCCGGCAACGGUGAAACUCAAAGGAAUUGACGGGGGCCCGCACAAGCGGAGGAACAUGUGGUUUAAUUCGAUGAUACGCGAGGAACCUUACCUGGGCUUAAAUUGCAGUGGAAUAACGUGGAAACAUGUUAGCCUUCGGGCCGCUGUGAAGGUGCUGCAUGGUUGUCGUCAGCUCGUGCCGUGAGGUGUCGGCUUAAGUGCCAUAACGAGCGCAACCCUCAUCGAUAGUUACUAACAGGUUAAGCUGAGGACUCUAUCGAGACUGCCGACGUAAGUCGUGAGGAAGGUGGGGAUGACGUCAAAUCAGCACGGCCCUUACGUCCAGGGCUACACACGUGUUACAAUGGGGGGUACAAAGGGCAGCUACCUGGCGACAGGAUGCUAAUCUCAAAAACCUCUCUCAGUUCGGAUUGGAGUCUGCAACCCGACUCCAUGAAGCUGGAUUCGCUAGUAAUCGCGCAUCAGCCACGGCGCGGUGAAUACGUUCCCGGGCCUUGUACACACCGCCCGUCAAGCCAUGGGAGCCGGGGGGACCUGAAGUAUGCAACCGUAAGGAGCGUCCUAGGGUAAAACUGGUGACUGGGGCU